Molecule: long non-coding RNA, 1815 nt
Organism: Loxodonta africana (African savanna elephant)
Lineage: Eukaryota; Metazoa; Chordata; Mammalia; Proboscidea; Elephantidae
Exons: 2
Source: RefSeq, a predicted model, not a curated record
CUUUGACCCCCUACUGUCUCAGUUCCGUGUCCUAGCCCCUUCUGCCUCCCAUCCGGUGUCUCACCAUCACCGUGCUCCCCCUCCACCCUCUCUGAGCUUGCCCCUGCGGUCCCCCUGCCCUCUCCGAUCGCUACCUUUCUCACCUGUCUCCCCUCCGGGCGCUCUCUCUGCUCUGCACUGCCCAUCCACACGCCUUUCAGCCUCUCUUGAAUUGGGACGUUCCCUGGAAGGUGAAUUGGCUGACUUGCGAGGAAAGGGAUUUGAGUGCCGGCCUGGCUUGCUGAGUGCUGUGUGAAUUUGGGUUAAUAAGGAUUAGUGUGGGGUGUAUCUUGAGUUACAGCCUUACAAGAGGGUGUGCUUUCAGUCAUACUCUUGCUCAAGUCACCCUUACACUGAUAUAAAGUUUCCUUGGGGGUGUGACCUGCAUAUCCAAUAUACACACAGAUGCUAUGGCAAAGCUCUCCCUUGCUGUGGAUCCUGCAUCUGGCUCAUCAUCCUCUCUCCUCCAGUUCUUUGGACUUGAGUCUGUCAUCUUACCUGCCAAGUCUGGGAUUUGCUAGAUUAUGCAGCCUCCUGAGCCAACAGCCUACUGUCUGACCUGCCGAUCAUUGAGGUGUCGGCCCCUAUGACCAUGUGAGUCAGGAGAAGCCUCCAGCCCGACACCUGAUCCACAGAUUUCGGAUUUGGCAGCCUCCACAACUGCGUGAGCCAUAUAUAUACACUUCACUGGUUUUGCUUCGCUGGAGAACCUAGCCUAAGGGUAACUUUUAAGUUGACUUCCAGGAUAAUUAAACUUUGCGCCAUUGAACCUCAGUCUCUCCAUAUGAAAAGAGCACAGUAAUGUCUAUAUCAGGAUCAAAUGAGAUCGCACGGAAGAACUUGUUGAGAUGUAAAAGAUGAGAAAAAUUGAGACUCCUGAGAGGUUAAGGGUUUUGUUUGGGGUCACGUAAGUGUUUUGAACCUAGGGCCAUUGCACUGCACAACUCCUGGAGGGACGUAUCCAUGACAAUUGCUGUGAAUGUGUCUCCGAAGCUGUAGCCACUAGUCACGCUUCUCUUCAAAGUUGCCAUUUACUUAUUUUCUUAGUAUACUUUUUAUUGAAAUACAUCAUACAUAAAGAGAAGUAGGCAUCUAAGUGUACACACCCUUGCAUUUUCACAAAGUGAACAUACCCAUGCCAUCAACACAGACCAAGAAAAAGAAUGUUUCCAGAACCCUAGAAAGCCCCCUGUCCCCUUCCAGUCACUUACUACCCUAAAGGGUAACCACUAUCUUGACUUCUAAUUGCAUAGUUUUACUUGUUUUUGAAUUGUAUAUAAAUGGAUUAAUAUAGGAUGCACCCGUCUGUGGCUUGCUUCUUUUGCUCAAAAUUUUUUUUGUAAGAUUCAUCCAUGCUGCUAUGUGUAAUUGUACUCUAAUCAUUCUCACUGUUAUAAUAUUCCAUUAUGUGAACAUACUAUAUUUUACUGUGGAUAGACAUUUGUGUUGUUUUUAGCCUUUGGCUAUUACAAACAGCGCUCCUAUGAACAUUCUUGGAUAUGUCCUUUGGUGAACAACAGAUUUCUGUUGAGUAAAUACCUAGGAGUGGAAUCACUAGGUCAUAGGGUAUACAUAUGUUCAGAUUUAGUAGAUUGGGGCAGUUUUCUGAAAUGGUUGUACCAGCAGUGUCUGAGAGUUCCAGUUGUUCCACAUUCUCACCAACACUUUGCAUUGUCUGUCUUUUUAAUUUUAGGCAUUCUGAUGGAAGUAUGGUGGUAUUCUCAUUGUGGUUUUAAUUUGUGUAUCUCCAUUGACUAAUGAACACUUUUUAAUAUA